This 17759-nucleotide long non-coding RNA is filed under the name Podarcis lilfordi (Lilford's wall lizard). The record is from RNAcentral. Lineage: Eukaryota; Metazoa; Chordata; Lepidosauria; Squamata; Lacertidae.
AUUUGCCCUCCUCCAGUCUGCCGGGACUUCGCCUGUUCUCCAGGAAUUCUCAAAGAUGACUUCCAGUGGUUCUGAGAUCACAUCUGCCAGUUCUUUUAAUACUCUUGGAUGCAGUUCUCUAAGUGGGCAAUACUGCCGUUGCGUGUGUGUGUGUGUGUGUGUGUGUGUGUUUGGGGGGCGCGUGGGUUGAACUACCUGGGGGUGGCAGGGAGUGAUGGCAGUGUAAAGUUGGUACCACUAGAUCACAUUCAACAAAUUUGUUCAAUUAAUUACACGGGAUAGUUUUACUUGGAUUUUACAUAAAUGUGUAAUCAGUUGCUACUGUUUUGAAUUUUAUUGUGUUGUUAUCUUCCUGAGUGGGUUGUGCAACCCACUGCAGUGGUACCUCGGGUUAAGAACUUAAUUUAUUCUGGAAGUCCGUUCUUAACCUGAAACUGUUCUUAACCUGAAGUACCACUUUAGCUAAUGGGGCCUCCCGCCGCUGUGCGAUUUCUGUUCUCAUCCUGAAGCAAAGUUCUUAACCCAAGGUACUAUUUCUGAGUUAGCAUAGCCUGUAACCUGAAGCGUCUGUAACCCGAGGUACCACUGUAUUCUGAAUAAUGCAUUUUAUAGGGCAGAAGAGGGAUUCUUCAGUUGCUUCUUGACCUCCCUCCUCUGCUUCUGCCUCGGAGUCUGAACUGCUCCCUGUCACCAGCUCUUCCUGCUCACUAAACCCUGUCGCUCUUUAAACAUCCAAGCCCUCUUCCCAAUCUUCUCCCUCUGACCUCUCCUCUGUGUCCCACCACCAAUCCCCUGGCUCUGAACCUUCCUUCUCUGGGGGUCUCCCUUGAGAGUUCCCCCCAGAACUGGAGUAAGAGACAACUGCCACCCCAAUUGCCUUCUGCAUGAGUCUUUAGGGAGGGUGACAUCUUGACCUUUGUCUUAGGUAGCAAAAUGUCUUGCAAUAGCCCUGUUCCUUAGUCUCAGAUUUGCUGCUAUGAGCUCGGCAGGACAGUGACCGAGUUGGCUCCACUGACCAUUAGCUCUGGCGCCACCUACUGUUGACCUCCCUACCUCCCACCCUACCAGUCCCAAGGGGCACCCCUGGGGCCAUCACUACAUCCCGUGGCAAUGAAUUUCAUAAUUAUACGGUGUGCUUUUCGACUGUCCUGACUCUUAUUUUUGGUGACCAUUGGGUGACCACAGGCUUUGGUGCUAGGGGAGCAGGAUAGCUGCUUUCUCUAUAACCAAGAGAAUGAAGAAAUUCACUUCAGUCCCAAGCCAUGCUUUAGACAGCCUGCUUUUGGACUUAUGAAAGCCUGAACCACAAGUGCCACCAAAAAUAGCUUUCAUCCUAGGUCCCCCCUCCCUUCUUAACCAACAUGAGCUGGAAAAUUUCCAAGGUCAGGCGGUGUUAAGCCUUGCCUUUAAGCUAUCGGCCAGCUCAGAUUGCAGGCUUGCUUCUGAUGUCCUUAAUUACGUUUUCCCACUCGGAAUCAACUCCCUUGCCAACAUUUAGCAAAGACUGAAGUCACCAAAAGCAACAGGCAGGUUUGAGAAGCUGACAUCUUCUGUGUCCGGGCCAGAAGUGGGGAAGCUCAGAGCUGAGAGUUAAAUGUGGCCCUUUGUUAUGUACUGAGUUGAAUAGGAUCCAAAAUGCAGCAGUCUGAUUGGUCCUAGAACAAUAGGAUCCAAAAUGCAGCAGUCUGAUUGGUCCCAGAACAAUAGGAUUCAGAAUGCAGCAGUCUGAUUGGUCCUAGAACAAUGCAGCAGUAUGAUUGGUCUGCAGGAGCCACCCAAUCCAGCUCCAGGUGGAAGUGAAUCCACAACCUGAUUGGGCUACAGGAGAAUUCCGGAAUUAGCCAAUCACGUGCAGCCGAUUGUGUAAAUAAUGUAUAUAAAGCAGAUACUUUGGGGAAACUUCCAUUCUUCCUCCCACUAUGAGCUGAAUAAAGAGCAUGAAAUCCACUCUCGACUCUGAGUAUAUUUCACCCCUUCAUGCUUUUCUAUCCGGCCCUCAAGACUCACUCGCUCUGAUUGAGGCAUCUCUUGACAUUUCAUGCAGUUUGGAGAGGUCCUUUUGGAGCUCUUUGCAAUCUCUGUUCCUUUUAGCAACCCUGAACUAUUUAGUAUCACCAGCAGACUUGACCAACCCAUUGCUAACCCCUAAUGCUAGAUUGUUUAGGAAAAAUGCAGCUCCCAGUAAGUUCACAUUCAUUCUUAUGGGGUCUGAAGCAAUGGCCACUGACCAGGAAUGAGUGGAUAGCUGAAUGAAGGCGUUGACGCCAUGAAAAGGGAAUAUUUCAUGCCCGCAGUCUUUAGGAAAGAAAUUUAGAAUAACGCUGGCAAUAUCAUAAUGCAGAUAUACAAAUCUAGGGUGCAACAGCGUUUGGAAGACUGCGUACCGUUCUGGCUGCCUCACUGCAAAAAGGAUAUUGUGGAGUGAGAAAAGGUUCAAAAAAAGAGCAAUCAAAUGUUCAAGGAGAUGAGUCCCUUGUGAAGAAAGGUUGAGCAUUUGGUACUUUUUGGAUGAGAGUAAGAGAUACGUGGUCAGGACGCGGGUGGUGCUGUGGUCUAAAUCACUGAGCCUUGGGCUUGCCGAUCGGAAGGUCAGUGGUUCGAAUCCCCGCAACGGGGUGAGCUCCCGUUGCUCGGUCCCUGCUCCUGCCAACCUAGCAGUUCAAAAGCACAUCAAAGUGCAUGUAGAUAAAUAGGUACCGCUGUGGCGGGAAGGUAAACGGCGUUUCCAUGUGCUGCGCUGGUUUCGCCAGAAGCGGCUUAGUCAUGCUGGCCACGUGACCCAGAAAAACUGUCUGCGGACAAACACUGGCUCCGUCGGCCAGUAAAGCGAGAUGAGCGCCGCAACCCCAGAGUCGUCUGCGACUGGACUUAACUGUCAGGGGUCCUUUACUUUUACCUUUUUAAGAGGUAAAGGUAAAGGGACCCCUGACCAUUAGGCGCUGGGCUAGGCACUUAUCUUCCUCCUGAUGAUGCGUAUGUGUCAUGCAUCUGAUAUCAUAUAUGUGCAAUGUGCGCAUGACAUCAAGCAUGUGAUGCAACAAUGCCCCACACUCAGUCUUAGGCCCAAGCCAAUGCCUCUGGUUCAUAUUUAUUUAUUUAUUUAUAUAUUUAUUUAUUUAUUUAUACACACAUACCCUGCCCAUCUGGCUUGGUUUCCCAGCCACUCUGGGCGGCUUCCAACAUAGAAUAAAAACACAUUAAAACACCAGCCAUUAAAAACUUCCCUGAACAGGGCUGCCUUCAGGUGUCUUCUAAAUGUCAUUUCCUUGACAUCUGAUGGGAGGGCAUUCCACAGGGCAGGCGCCACUACCAAGAAGACCCUCUGCCUGGUUCCCUGCAACUUUGCUUCUCGCAGGGAGGGAACCGUCAGAAGCCCCUCGGAGCUGGACCUUGGCGGUAGAGACGUUCCUUCAGGUAUACAGGACGGAGGCUGUUUAGAAACACGCUAUUUCAUCCAGCUCUCUUAAGUGGAUGAGAGCUGCAUGAUAACAGACUUUUGUCCCUUUUGUCCCGUGGGCUUAGCAUAAGUAGUUCCCUGAUGGGUUUCUCUCAAGCAGUGAUGAGGAACAAAAUACAAACAAUUAGGGUAAUGACAGGGAAAGCACACUAAUUGGCUAGACCAAAGGCGCUUGUUUCAACACCCACUCUCUCAUCUCCCUCCUGUUACCUGCAGGAAGCUUUUAAAGUGAUGGAUCUGAAAGGAAAGGAAUGAAAGCAGUGCUCCUCCAGGUCUGAAGACAUAAACCAGCUUCACUUUUUCCUCUUGGCAGUGCGCAUUGUGAUGUGCGAAGUGUUAUAAAUACGGCUUUAUUGAUACAUGCCGGUGGACAAGGAGGCAGCAACCCACUGAGCAAGAUCUGAAUGCAAAAAGAGACACCUGCAGCUCUGCCUCUCUUUCAAAUCAGAACCAGUGAAGGCGGUGAAGGUCCUCUGUGAGUGCCUGGAGGCGGAUGGAGGAUGGAUGGCGGCUAACAGAUUGAGGUUGAAUCCUAGCAAGAUAGAAGUACAGUGGUACCUCGGCUUAAGAACUUAAUUCGUUCCGGAGGUCCAUUCUUAACCUGAAACUGUUCUUAACCUGAAGCACCACUUUAGCUAAUGGGGCCUCCUGCUGCUGUCGCGCCGCCGGAGCAUGAUUUCUGUUCUCAUCCUGAAGCAAAGUUCUUAACCUGAGGUAAUAUUUCUGGGUUAGCAGAGUCUGUAACCUGAAGUGUAUGUAACCCGAGGAACCACUGUACUCUUUUGGGGGGACAGGAGGCAGGCUGGUGUGGAGGACUCCUUGGUCCUGAAUGGGGUAACUGUGCCCCUGAAGGACCAGGUGCGCAGCCUGGGAGUCAUUUUGGACUUGCAGUUGUCCAUGGAGGCACAGGUCAAUUCUGUGUCCAGGGCAGCUGUUUACCAGCUCCAUCUGGUACACAGGAUGAGACCCUCCGUGCCCGCAGACUGUCUUGCCAGAGUGGUGCAUGCUCUAGUUAUCUCCUGCUUAGACUACUGCAAUGCGCUCUACGUGGGGCUACCUUUGAAGGUGACCCGGAAACUGCAAUUAAUCCAGAAUGCGGCAGCUAGACUGGUGACUGGGAGCGGCCGCCGAGACCACAUAACACUGGUCUUGAAAGGCCUACACUGGCUCCCAGUACGUUUCCAAGCACAAUUCAAAGUGUUGGUGCUGACCUUUAAAGCCCUAAACGGCCUCCACUCUGGAAGCUGCCCAGAGUGGCUGGGACGCCCAGCCAGAUGGGCAGGGUAUAAAUCAUACAUUAGUAGUAGUAGUCGGAUGGGCACGGGGGAAACAUUAUGCAAUUUUUUUGCCAGUUCAUGAAAAAUAAUCUUGGACUGUAGAGAGUGUGGUUUGCCAACAGCACAAUACCACAAGAUAUUUUCUCUUCCCUUGGGACUUGCUUCUUUCUUGAACAUGUCCAGCCAAUCAGGGAUCACAUACCGUAUUUUUCGCUCUAUAAGACGCACCAGACCACAAGACACACCUAGUUUUUGGAGGAGGAAAACAAGAAAAACAUAUAUUCUGAAUCUCAGAAGCCAGAACAGCAAGACUGAUCGCUGCGCAGUGGAAGCAGCAAUCCCUCUUGCUGUUCUGGCUUCUGGGAUAGCUGUGCAGCCUGCAUUCGCUCCAUAAGACGCACACACAUUUCCCCUUACUUUUUAGGAGGGAAAAAGUGAGUCUUAUAGAGCAAAAAAUACGGUAGUUAAAAGCAAUAACGUAACAUCACCAUGAGUGAAGGUUUGAACCUUGCUUUCUGCACCACUGUGGCAGCCUUCGUUUAGUUUUUUACUUGACCUCCCAUUUUCCAUGGUGUUUUUAAUUUAUCCUCCUUGCUGCACCCUAUCUCCUCUUUUCUUAUAUUGUAACUACUGCACAAUAAUCUAUUUUCUUCUCUUGCUCACAGUUGGAAUCAUGCUCGCAAAUUCAUCAUACUGUAAUAUUUCUAUAAAUAUUCUGAAAAUGGCUUCCAUUCUUCCACAAAACAAUCCUCAUUAGGUUCUCUUAUGAUCCAUAAUCAUGUUGCCUGGCGAGAUGCUUUAAAAAAAAUAAAUAUAAAAUGCACACAUUCAUGAAAAUAACCUCCCAAACAAAACAUGCAUAUUAGGGGAAAUCAUUUCUGAAAAUGGAUACAGUGAGCAAAAUCUCAUACAAAAGCAUUUGCAUGAGGAGUAAUGAUCGGUAAAAUGCUGAUAAACAGUUGUUGAUGUUGUUAUUUUAAAAAGUAGUUGUUAAGUGAGGUAUGAAUGUUGCAAACUGAGCUCAAGAAUGGAAAAGUGCAAGAAACCAAAACUUGAAUGAUUUAUUCAUCCCUUCCUGAAUGCACAUACAUUUAUUCAAAGAACACAAGACCCAGAGCCAGUCAAUUUAUUUUUACACCUCUCUCCCUCUCUGGCAGCGAAAAUACCAGGAUUAUAAAUCAAAUAACGAACCAUUUGCUUCUCUUUCCUGACAAUCCAAAUCUGCCGCUCGAGGCAGCCACCUCAUUUUGCCCAAAGGUAAGGCAGGCAGUCCCUGCUUCUAGGCUGAUGGAGUUAUUGGACAUGUAGCCGAUGAGGGAGCACAUUUAAGAAACAGCACAGGCGACUGGAUUAGCCAUGUCGUCUGUACAAAACAACACAAUCAGCCGUUCUCUCAACUCGCUUUCCCUGUUCAUUCUGCUGCCAAAUUUUUUGAUUGCUAUUUAACAGAAACAACAGAUCGAAAGAAUGGAAGAGGGUGUGUGUGUUUGCAGUUUAAUAAAAAAUUGAUUUCCAACCUGUUGAAAAAUGAAUGUUUUUCUUUUAAGAAAAAGCUCCCGCAGUCUCCAAAUUAAGUCUAAGCUUUGGCCAAUAAAGCUCCUGAGGUCACGAAUGGAUGAAAGAACAUGAAGAAUAUGCUUGUGCCAAUCCACACAAUAAGACACUCGAGAGCUAAAGUUAAGCUUGGCUUCAGGACGCAGGGUGCAUUGUAUAUAGAUCCAGGAUUCACCACACCUCGUUCUCUGUCUUCCAAAGAGAAAUAGUUUCCCAGGCCCUGAAGACCCACCAAUAUUCCCAUCACCUGGAAUGGAAUUGGACAUUCCAGCUUCGGCGGUGAACCUCUGGAGUUUGGCAGGAUCGGUAUAAAAUCAUUCCUCUGCUCCUCUGCUCAAACUCAAAGGAGCAAAACCUGGUGAUUCUGCCCUGAUUUCCCAUGGUCCAGACGCCUCUGUUUAUUUCCGGAGCGGUACUGAAACCCAAUGGAUGAAAAUCUUGAGCCGGAGAAGGAAUUCCACAAGUGGGAGAGACAGUCAUAUCCUCUCUCUCUCUCUCUCUCUCUCUCUCUCUCUCUCUCUGAUUUCUUCCCAUCAACACAGACAGAGCAGGCUGGACCCCAGCUCUGUGUUCGUAUUGUGUUAGGAAUGGUUUGUCAGUUACACUAUGAUGGAUGCUAAUGUCAAACAAUGUAUGGAAGUGAGAGCUGGACCAUAAAGAGGCUGAUCGCCGAAGAAUUGAUGCUUUUGAAUUAUGGUGCUGGAGGAGACUCUUGAGAGUCCCAUGGACUGCAAGAAGAUCAAACCUAUCCAUUCUGAAGGAAAUCAGCCCUGAGUGCUCACUGGAAGGACAGAUCCUGAAGCUGAGAUUCCAAUACUUUGGCCACCUCAUGAGAAGAGAAGACUCCCUGGGAAAGACCCUGAUGUUGGAUAAGAUGGAGGGCGCAAGGAGAAGGGGACGACAGAGGAUGAGGUAGUUGGACAGUGUUCUCGAAGCUACUAGCAUGAGUUUGACCAAACUGAGGGAGGCAGUGGAAGACAGGAGGGCCUGGCAUGCUCUGGUCCAGGGGGUCACGAAGAGUCGGACACGACUAAACAACAACAACAACAAAAUGUCAAACAAAGGUCCAAAAUGUUGUCAGUGGCCCCAAAUAUUAAAGAUGGGUGUUAGGAGAACAAAGUUUGCUCAACCCCCCACCAUUUCUGCAAACAUUGUUCAGAUAUUUAUUCCAGAUUUCAACAGCUUCACUGGUGAAACUGUAUCCACAGACUCUCUUAAGAUCAUUAAAGACUCAGCACUCAUUGUUCCUCUGCCCCAUCUAUCCCUUGCUCUUUCCGGCUCAUAUGUUAUUUAUGGCGCUGAAGCUUUGCUGAAAAUAAUAAGGGUUAUUUGAGAAUAUUUUAUUCUGUUCCACAAAAAGCUUCAGCACAAUGCAGCUUCUCUGAGAGCAUUAAACUUGUCAGCAUUAAACCUGAGAGCAUGAACUGGCAGAAGAAAUGUGGGAGCUUUAUGAGGAAAAAGUUAGUUUUGAAAAGAAUUUCACAGCUCUGAAACGUGAAGUCCGGUUUAUGUCCCGAGAGUGUAAGAACAGUCCUGCAGAGAUUUAAAUAAACUCCACGGCUUCCUUCUUCAACCCCAACUACUCCCGAGGGGUUUGUGGAAAUCCCAAUUUAAGGAACAUACCAUCCUUUGGUUGACAUGGUACCAAAUUAGAAAAUGUAUACAGUACAACCAACCCACAUCAUGGAACUGGAACUGAGAGAUCUUUUGUUGUUGUUUAGUCGUUUAGUCGUGUCUGACUCUCCGUGACCCCCUGGACCAGAGCACGCCAGGCACUCCUGUCUUCCACUGCCUCCCGCAGUUUGGUCAAACUCAUGCUGGUAGCUUCGAGAACACUGUCCAACCAUCUCAUCCUCUGUCGCCCCCUUCUCCUUGUGCCCUCCAUCUUUCCCAACAUCAGGGACUUUUCCAGGGAGUUUUCUCUUCUCAUGAGGUGGCCAAAGUAUUGGAGCCUCAGCUUCAGGAUCUGUCCUUCCAGUGAGCACUCAGGGCUGAUUUACUUCAGAAUGGAUAGGUUUGUUUUUCUUGCAGUCCAUGGGACUCUCAAGAGUCUCCUCCAGCACCAUAAUUCAAAAGCAUCAAUUCUUCAGCGAUCAGCCUUCUUUACGGUCCAGCUCUCACUUCCAUACAUCACUACUGGGAAAACCAUGCUUUUACUAUACGGACCUUUGUUGGCAAGGUGAUGUCUCUGCUUUUUAAGAUGCUGUCUAGGUUUGUCAUUGCUUUUCUCCCAAGAAGCAGGCGUCUUUUAAUUUCGUGGCUGCUGUCACCAUCUGCAGUGAUCAUGGAACCCAAGAAAGUAAAAUCUCUCACUGCCUCCAUUUCUUCCCCUUCUAUUUGCCAGGAGGUGAUGGGACCAGUGGCCGUGAUCUUCGUUUUUUUGAUCUUACCCCUUUUGAAUUAUUGCUGGAUUCUGCCAAUAAGAUAGAACAAGGUCUGGUGUCUAGGCUGCAGAAUAAAAUAUUGCAGAAUGGUUUAACCGCCUAUUCACCAAAGUGCUAGAGAGAAUGUGGAGCAUUAGGCUCUAAUCAACAUUGCAGGGGGUUGGACUUUUCAGUUCUGUGAUUCUGUGGACAUGAAUGGGGGACAUGAAGCCUAGCUAUCCUGGCUAGUAAGUCAUCAAUAGCCGUCUCCUCCCUGAAUUCGUCUAAUCCUCCUUUAAAGCCAUCUAGGCUGGUGGCCUCCUGGGGGAGCAAGUUCCAUAAUUUGACUAGGCGUUGUGUGAAUAAUGACUUUCUUUCAUCUGUCCUGAAUUUUCCAAUAUUCAGCUUCAUUUGAUGUUCAGCUCCCAAAUCACUGCAGCUCCCGAAUCCCAGAUCACCAAUGAACUGGAAAGAAUUGUCUCUCUUUCUUCCACUGUCUGCAUAAGCCUGACGAUCGUCUUCCAAAGCAACUACUGUAUUCCGAACUUAAAAAUGGAAAGUGUAAUGCUGGUGGUCAACAAAAGAGGUUUAAAGACUGUCUCUGUCUGCGUUUGUGUGUGAACACAAGGGCUGACAUUGAUGCCAAAAUCCAGCAUUGCCUGAGCUAUGCGAGUGCGGCUUUCUCCCGACUGAAGUGCAGAGUGUUUGAGGACCGGGACAUUCGCAGGGAAACCAAAAUGCUUGUUUGCAAAGCUAUGGUACUACCAACCUUACCAUAUGCUUGUGAAACAUGGACCACUUAUAAACGCCAUCUCCAACUCCUCGAAAGAUUCCAUCAACAAUGUCUCCGAAAAUUUUUACGCAUCACUUGGGAAGGCAAGGGAACUGAUACCAGUGUACUGGAAGAAGCAAAGAUCACCAGUGUUGAAGCAAUGAUUCUUCAACAUCAACUUCGCUGGACUGGUCAUGUUGUGCGGAUGCCUGAUGAUCGUCUUCCAAAGCAACUACUCUAUUCCAAACUUAAAAAUGGAAAGUGUAAUGCUGGUGGUCAACAAAAGAGGUUCAAACACUCUCUCAAGGCAAAUUUCCAAAAAUGUAGUAUAAACACCAACAACUGGGAAACACUGGCCUGCGAGCGCUCCAAUUGGAGAACAGCCUUUACCAAAGGUGUCAUGGGCUUUGAAGACACUCAAACUCAGGACGCAAGGUAGAAACGUGCUAAGAGGGAGGCACGCUUGGCAAACCCUCACUGUGAUCAACUCCCGCCUGGAAACCAAUGUCCUCACUGUGGAAGGACAUGUGGAUCCAGAAUUGGCCUCCAGUCACUUAGGGACUCAUUGUUAAAACCGUGUUUAUGGAAGACAAUCUUACUUGGCUACGAGUGAUAGAAGAAGAAGAAGAAGAAGAAGAAGAAGAAGAAGAAGAAGAAGGUAGCCCUGAAGAGUGUUCAGCAAAUGUUUUAGAAGUAACACAAAAGGCGGUCCCUGCUGAAUCCUUGUUGCAUGAGAAUUGCGUGAUACUGCAGCGAUUUCUUGCUGACAUCAGAUGAGUCUCACAAACUCGGGGUUGGGUAGGAGAAAUUUGCCUCUGGUGUAAGCUCUGACCUGUCACCGCAUAUUUAUUUCUUAAUUCUGAAGAUCUUGUGAACAGCCUCUUCACUCAGUCACAGUUAUAGUUAUGGAGCCUUUUAUUCUCUUUUUACUGAGCUAUACAUCCUAUCGACUUUUUGCAGCUGUGUUUACAGAAAUCAAUAAACACAGUUUUAUUUUUAUUUUUAAAGUUGCAUGUGAAUCUCUCGUCACAGUGAAAUACUGCCCAGCUACUUUUCAGAGGCAGGAGCAAGAAGCUAUCGCCAGUAACAGUAUCUUGACUGAGCUUCAUUAAUAUGCACCCAAGUGUGGAAAUGGAACACUCGUAAAUUAGAUUCCCUUCUCUCCCAGCCUCUGCAAAUACUGUCUUCUGGCUGCGGCUUGAUUCUGUACUAAUUUCCAUUUGAAGCUCGUAUGGCAUACCAGAUGUCAAAUGUGAGCUGGUAAGCCCUGGUUAGAUGUGUCCUCUGGUGUGACGGGCAGUAUAGGCUAGUGGUUAGAGUGCUUGACUGAGAUCCUGGGUUCAAAUCCUUGCACAGGCACAGCGGCGGAGGAAGCCACUCGGGUGCCUGGGGCGACGCGCCCAGGGGAGGAGCAAUAAUAAUAAUAAAAAAAAUUAUUUAUACCCCACCCUCCCCAGCCAGAGCCAGGCUCAGGGCGGCUAACAACAUUAAAAUUACAGUAAAAACAUAAUAGGAAGGGGGGGAAACCCAAUUUAAAAUACAGGUUAAAAUGCAAUUUCAAAUGCAGCCUCAUCAAAACCAUAAGGGGAGGGAAACAGAAGGGUCAGACUGAGUCCAAACCAAAGGCCAGGUGGAACAGCUCUGUCUUGCAGGCCCUGCGGAAAGACAUCAAGUCCCGCAGGGCCCUAGCCUCUUGUGACAGAGCGUUCCACCAAGUCGGGGCCAGUACUGAAAAGGCCCUGGCCCUAGUUGAGAGCAAUCUAACCACCUUGGGGCUCGGGACCUCCAAAGUGUUGUUAUUUAUGGGCCUUAAGGUCCUCCGCGGGGCAUACCAGGAGAGGCGGUCCCGUAGGUCCGGCUGCAUAUGGGCAAGCCGCCCAUAAGGGUGGGGCGAGAGCAGGGCAAGCCGCCCAUAGGGGCAGGGCACACCACGGGCCCUCUGGGGUCCGCCUGCUUCCUCCUACUCAGCCGCCCUACAGCUCUGGGGGCUUGGCAGCAGGCAGACCGUUUGGGCAGCGUGGAGCUUGUGUGUGCCCAAGCCUACGCGUCUCUCCCAGGAGAGAUGUGUGGCUCGGGUGCGCUGCAGGCCCCGCGGUGAGUGCCGCCUGGCAUUUUGUCACCCCCCUCAGCGGUAACACCUGGGGGCGGACCGCACCCAACGCACCCCCCUUCCUUUGCCCCUGCCCAGGCACAGACUUGUUCUCUGUUGCUCUAGAGCAGGGGUCAGUAACCUUUUUCAGCCGUGGGCCGGUCCACCGUCCCUCAGACCAUGUGGUGGGCCGGACUAUAUUUUGAAGAAAAAAUAUAUAUGAAUGAUUUCCUAUGCCCCACAAAUAACCCAGAGAUGCAUUUUAUAUAAAAGGACACAUUCUACUUGGUAAGUUGUGGGUGAACAUAUCAGACGACAGUGAUUCUUCAAACAGCUCUUGUUUAUUCUCAGGCCAGAACAGAACUGAACUGAAGGGUUCAGCCAGCCUGCUUAUAUAGAGCUUCACUAGAACGCAACUGUAACCACUUUCUGUAACUAUCCCAUCACUGAACGUCACUUUCAAUCCCCUAUUUGCAUAUGUGGACCUGAGUGAAAACUAUCUACAGUAUCCCCCUGCUGGCCCAGGGUGAGAACUUCAGUACAUAACACCACUCGUGUGAAAACACCAGGCAGGCCCCACAAAUAACCCAGAGAUGCACUUUAAAUAAAAGGACACAUUCUACUCAUGUAAAAACACCAGGCAGGACCCACAAAUAACCCAGAGAUGCACUUUAUAUAAAAGCACCCAUUCUAUUCAUGUAAAAACACCAGGCAGGCCCCAUAAAUAACCCAGAGAUGCAUUUUAAAUAAAAGGACACAUUCUAUUCAUGUAAAAACACGCUGAUUCCCCGACCGUCCGCGGGCCGGAUUGAGAAGGCGAUUGGGCCGCAUCCGGCCCCCGGGCCUGAGGUUGCCUACCUUUGUUCUAGAGGGCAGAACAAGACCAACAGGUCUGCUCAAAGAGAACAUUUUUUUCCAGCAUAUGCCAGCUGAAUCACUGAAAUUGUUUUAAGGAGUUUCACUGGUUGUCCCCUGACAUGGAAUUUCGGUUAAACCCAUUAUUAUCACAUACACAAGAAUACAUAGCCCAAAGUUGGGCUGUGCUUUAGGUGAGAGCCUAGUAGCAAAAGCUGUUCAGCAAUGGGACAGACUGCUUCAGCAGGACUCUCCUUUACCAGAGGUAUUUAAGCAGAGGAGGGCUGGCCUUCUGGAAGGGAAGCUAUAGUUGCAAAUCCUGCAUUGAACAGGAUAGAGAUGGGGAGCAGAAGCCUCGUUCCAUCAGCUUUGCUGAAAGACCAAUUCCAUCAAUCAUCUCUAAUGACUUGUCAUUAGAAGAACAGCUGUUUAGAAAAGGGUGCUUUUAUUUUCCUCUUCCCUCCCUUUCUCCUUUUCCUUGUGUGCUGUUUUUUUUAUAGAUUGGCCUAAGGCAGAUGUAAAAGGGACAUGGGUGGCACUGUGGGUUAAACCACAGAGCCUAGGAUUUGCCGAUCGGAAGGUUGGUGGUUCGAAUCCCCGCGACGGAGUGAGCUCCCGUUGCUCGGUCCCUGCUCCUGCCAACCUAGCAGUUCGAAAGCACAUCAAAGUGCAAGUAGAUAAAUAGAUACCGCUCUGGCAGGAAGGUAAACAGUGUUUCCGUGUGCUGCUCUGGUUCGCCAGAUGCGGCUUAGUCGUGCUGGCCAAAUGACCCGGAACCUGUACGCCGGCUCCCUCAGCCAAUAAAGUGAGAUGAGCGCCGCAACCCCAGAGUCAUCUGCGACUGGACCUAAUGGUCAGGGGUCCCUUUACCUUUACCUUUAAGGCAGAUGUAGAAGGUUGAUUGGCAGAUUGCUAGCAGUGAGGAGGUGUGGACUUCAAUAUGGAGAACUGCAUCACAAAAUUUGUAUGGUUCCAGGAAGUACAGAUUAAGCAAAUUUGGCUUUGAACGAUAACUGAACUAAAUUUUGACCGAUAUCCCUGAUUAUGCAGGACUGAACCGGCCACCUGCAUAGCCUGAUAUUAAAUGGGGGCUACCAAUUAUUUUCCAUAACUAGCUACCUGAAACUUACAGCUGCAUCAGGUCUGCAGUAUUUCUUCUUACAUGUGUGUGUGUGUGUUGUCUUAGAACUGAGCAGUAUAUAUAAUCUUUUCGGUCCAAAUUUACAUGUCUGAUGAGAGAAAGAGCCUUUCAUCUCAAACAACUGAGAGACCAAACUGAUCAAAAGUGUUUCUCUUUUCAUCAAAGUCCUAGGCGUGAAUCACAACGCAGACUAGAUGAGCAAGCUCACCCAUGCUUGCCUCAGAAAUCUUGCUUAUUUCUCCCUCAAGCUUCCUCAAGACUUAAAGUUCACCUGUUUGUUUGAUAUUUAUUUCAAGUGGGGGGACGGGGACGGGACGCAUAGUCCUAUUCACCCGCCCACUUAACGAGCAGCAAUAAAAACCUUUUUUCUUUUGAGAAGAGAAAGGGGGUGACCCCCCGGAGGGAGGAUUUGCUUGAGGUAGAUCUUGCAUGCUUUCUCCUAGCUGAUUGUGCACAGGAGUACAAUUUCCUGAUGGUGAGCAUGGGAUGUGGAUUUUCCUCUGUCUCCUGAACUGAAUUGGGAGGCAGGGGAAACUACAACCCCCUGCUUCCUGGAAGGAAAUCUAUCCAUUUUCGAAACUGCAUUCCAGGAGGAAACAGGACAGGGUUCCAGCAUCUUUAAGAGCCUUCUAGAUUGGGGAAUUCCAGCAGGGUUCUUCUUAUUGUUAGAAUUCCUGCUCCAUGAUUGCAGUCAUGGGAUUGUCGUCUAUCACAUGACGGUGUGUGUUUUGACUCCACAGAGUGGGAAGUGAUGGAGACAGGAUGUUUGUGUUACUGUGUUCCGUGAAGUGGGACUAUUGUCCUUUGUCCUUUCUCUUUGCUGUCUGAUGCUAGAGAGAGAGGGAGCCAUGUUACAGUGCUCCGUGUGUAUUUAUAUGUAAAUAAAGUAGAUUAGCCCAAAUGCUGAGUUGCUGAGGUCUGUCACGCAAGCUGCAAAGACUCUGCGGAUCCCUAAGUGUGCCGGUGUCUGUUGGCAUCAGUUGCUGUGAUGUUCAGGCUGAAGAAAGCUUUUGAAGCUCCCGAACGAUCGACCAGGAGGGAGAGACAUGCCAGUCGGGCAUGUGUCUCUGCCAGGGUCCUACUCGAGUGUAGGACGAGCUCCUGACACUUAUGUCAUUAGAACUGUAGAAUCAUAGAAUUGCAGAGUUGAGAGAGGGGUACCAAACGGUCAUCUAGUCCAACCCCACUCAAUGCAAGUAUCACAGCUGAAUCAGCUCCAAGUUACAGCAAGCCAAACCUGUCAGUUUGGGGGCCCCUCAGUUUCUUUCCCCACCCAACAAAUCUUAAAUCCUGUUCCCCACAUUUCCACAGCAGUUUGAUACUACUAUUUUUAAAAAAACUUUAUUGCAAAAAAAUUUACGUAUAACAACAGACAAUACCUCAAUGACAACUAAACAUUAACUAACAACACAUUGUCUAACAUCACACACACUUUUGACUUCCGAUUCACCUCAUUGUGCUUUCUACAUAUUCUUAACCUUUACGCAUUUCCUGUUAUAUCUGUUACAUAUCCAGAAAAUUUUCUACAUUUAUAAUUUCCCUUAAUAUUCAAGAUUCAAUCUGGAACUGUCAGGAGAUUUGCAGAUUCUUUAUAUGUUAUCCAUUCUUUACACACUUUCUGGUUUGAGUUUCCUCUUAUUUAAGGUUACCAGAUUUUUUUUCAAAGAAUCCGGGGACACUUUUUUUUUGAAAAGAGAAAAAAAAAUUUAAAAAAUUAAGAAGUAAUAUCUUCUCUUCUGUGAUCUUUGCUUCUUCCAGUACACUGGCAUUAGUUCGCCUGUGAUGCGUAAAUUUUUUCGCACACACACAAAGGAGGACUAAAGGAAGAUUGGUUUACUACUGAUAUUAGUAAGAAAACACAUACAAUUGCCAAUCUUUUGGGAGUAUUGUUUUUUAAUCUGCAGCAAGUGGAAUGGAGCACGAUUAUAAACAAAUACAGUGGUACCUCAGGUUACAUACGCUUCAGGUUACAGACUCUGCUAACCCAGAAGUGCUUCAGGUUAAGAACUUUGCUUCAGGAUGAGAACAGAAAUCGUGCUCCGGCCGCGCGGCGGCAGCAGGAGGCCCCAUUAGCUAAAGUGGUGCUUCAGGUUAAGAACAGUUUCAGGUUAAGAACGGACCUCUGGAACGAAUUAAGUACUUAACCUGAGGUACCACUGUAUCUGCAAACUGAGAUGCGAUAGAUACAUCCUUCCUUGUGCCUUCUGGAGGGAUCCCCAAUAUGGUCUCGGCAGGAUAGGCUCCAUCUGGGGGGGGGGCUGAGGGCCCCCUCAAAUUUUCAAUCAGAGUGCACCCCCACCAAAAAAUACAGCAUCCUGCCUGGCACUGGCUGUCUCUAUUGCGGGGACAAGGAGGUGCGCUGGCCCUGCAAGUUCUAGAAGAAACUGCCAUUGGUGGCAGAAGAUGGAAAACCUAACGCUUGGUUCAAAUUUGUAUCUCGUCCACCCAUUUCUAGCAAACAGAAUGUUUUUCAUAUAUAGGAACCAGUUCGGUCUUCCAUAGCAUUUAAUUAGCAAAACGUUAACCAUCUGCCUCGCAGUGCGACAUAAACUUCAAUAGAAUUUUCCUCAAACGAGACGGGCUUUUUUGUCGCCGUUUCUUUCGCUCCGUGCAUCGUUUGAUCAUCAAACGUACCGAUCACUGCUUCUCAGCUUAUUAUUCAAAUUCUUUUGCUUUCAGUUAAAGGGUUCGUGCAACCCACACUCUCUUUCCUAACGAACUCCAGAUCAGAUUGGCGACGCGGGGUGUGUUUUUGCACGAGGUGGGCUUCGAGGUUCAGUGAUGUAGUUGGUGAGGACCCCAGACGGUGUCAGCUCAAGACAUUUUGAUGCAAACCAAAACAUGGCGCCCCUCAACCUGAUAUUCAGUGGUAGGCUGCACCUGAACUUGGAGUCUCAGUUUCAGCUAUGCUGUUUAACAGCCCUUGCUAUACCCCCUGCAUCUGGAUACGGCCCACCUCCUUUUGAAGCCAUCUGACCUAGUGGCUCCUUCAUCACAAGAGAGGGCAUCCAACACCUUCAUUUUACUUUUGAAGACCACUCCUAGUGGUGCAAAAUUCCAGGGAUCUCAGGCACUUAUCCAGGGUUUGGUUUCCUCGGGAUGAGGCACAACAGAGACUGUGGUGUCUUUAAGAUAUAUGGUUUAUUUACACACAUAUAUAACCUGAGCCUGUUGUCUUUGUCCAUGGAGUUUUCUUGGCAGGGAUACUGGAGUGGCUUGCCGGUUCCUGCUCCAGGUGGAUCACGUUUGGUCAAAACUCUCCACUAUGACCUGUCCAUCUUGGGUGCACCUUGCCAACAAAGGUCCACAUAGUAAAAGCUAUGGUUUUCCCAGUAGUGAUGUAUGGAAGUGAGAGCUGGACCAUAAAGAAGGCUGAUCGCCGAAGAAUUGAUGCUUUUGAAUUAUGGUGCUGGAGGAGACGCUGGAGAGUCCCAUGGACUGCAAGAAGAUCAAACCUAUCCGUUCUUAAGGAAAUCAGCCCUGAGUGCUCACUGGAAGGAGAGAUCCUGAAGCUGAGGCUCCAAUACUUUGGCCACCUCAUGUGAAGAGAAGACUCCCUGGAAAAGACCCUGAUGCUGGGAAAGAUGGAGGGCGCAAGGGGACGACAGAGGACGAGAUGGUUGGACAGUGUUCUUGAAGCUACCAGCAUGAGUUUGACCAAACUGUGGGAGGCAGUGGAAGACAGGAGUGCCUGGCAUGCUCUGGUCCAUGGGGUCACGAAGAGUCGGACAUGACUAAACGACUAAACAACAACAACAACAUAACCUGAGCCUAAGAUGGAGGGGCUCAUUUCAGUAACAUCUCAAGAAGGUCUUGCUUCUCCCAUAGCCACAGCUUUGGUUUCCAGCAGAAAGCAAGCAUCUCUCUCUGGCUUCCGCCUGCAGCCUGCUCUCUGAGACACCUCAGCUCUCCCUUUCGCCCUCCUAACUAUCAGCCAGUUGAGGGAGCCAUUUGCCCUCUACUGCCAAGCCACUUCCUUCAUUACCCUCAACUGUUUUCAGUUACGUAUUCUAAAUUGUCGUGAGCCACCUUCACAGCCUCAAAAGCUGUGGCUUGAAUGACUUGCUCCCCUAUUGCAGCAGGUGCAUUUUCAACUCUACCAUUCUAUAUUACAGGGAUGUCCAACAGGUUGAUCACGAUCGACUGGUCGAUCCCCGGGAGGUUUUGGUAGAUCGUGGUCAAUUGCUGACUCCUCCGUCCAGCCCCGGCCCCUCGCCCCGUCCUCUAGAUAGCUAGAAUGGAAGUUGGAGC